RNAcentral lists this ribosomal RNA (425 nucleotides) under uncultured bacterium. RNAcentral's name for it is "partial 16S ribosomal RNA". It matches the Rfam family "Bacterial small subunit ribosomal RNA", at positions 354 to 796 of the family's 1533-position model. The record is from RNAcentral.
GUGGGGAAUCUUGCGCAAUGGGCGAAAGCCUGACGCAGCCAUGCCGCGUGAAUGAUGAAGGUCUUAGGAUUGUAAAAUUCUUUCACCGGGGACGAUAAUGACGGUACCCGGAGAAGAAGCCCCGGCUAACUUCGUGCCAGCAGCCGCGGUAAUACGAAGGGGGCUAGCGUUGCUCGGAAUUACUGGGCGUAAAGGGCGCGUAGGCGGACAGUUUAGUCAGAGGUGAAAGCCCAGGGCUCAACCUUGGAAUUGCCUUUGAUACUGGCUGUCUUGAGUACGGGAGAGGUGAGUGGAACUCCGAGUGUAGAGGUGAAAUUCGUAGAUAUUCGGAAGAACACCAGUGGCGAAGGCGACUCACUGGCCAGUUACUGACGCUGAGGCGCGAAAGCGUGGGGAGCAAACAGGAUUAGAUACCCGUGUAGUCC